Pecten maximus is the source of this 778-nucleotide long non-coding RNA. RefSeq lists it as uncharacterized. Lineage: Eukaryota; Metazoa; Mollusca; Bivalvia; Pectinida; Pectinidae. The transcript is spliced from 5 exons. The record is from RefSeq and is a predicted model, not a curated record.
GAUUCUGUCGGAAUAUCACAAACUACAAACGCGGUAUGAGGAUGCUGUGCCCAAAGAAACACUGACUGAAUUUGUGAACACGUACUUCUCAGAUCCUGGAGAUGAGUUCAUACAAUGGGCGCCUACGGAUAUACCUCGUAUACCAUCAUUCUUAGACAACGUCACAGAUCCCUUACUUUAUGACUUUGGAUGGGAUCUAUGUAAUAUUUGGAAAGAUCUCGGGCGAAAGAUAAAGCCCGAUUUGUUGAACAAGAGUGAUAGAUACUCUUUACUCUACUUGCCGAACCCCUUCAUAGUACCCGGUGGGAGGUUUAGAGAGACAUACUACUGGUGAAGGAUCUGUACGAGAGGAUAUUUCCUGAUAGUCUGCCAUUUUAUGUGCCCAGUAGACAAGUAACCAUUUCCAACAGUGUAAUACAGGCAGGACACUCAUUUCUCUGCCGUGAAGAGUAUGUGUCAAGGGAGACAACUCGGUCACUGUACCUCCUUCACCACCUCCUGGAGCGUAUGGAAGCUGUGAUGAAGUGCGUCCAGAUGAACUGGAUGCCCAUUCUUGUGGGGCCUCAGUCCUGUGGUAAGACCAGCUUGGUCCAGCUACUGUCCAGUUUGACCGGCUAUCACCUACAUGUUCUAGCAAUGAACUGUUCCAUGGACACCACAGAACUACUGGGCAGAUUUGAAGAGGUUUAGUACUCCAGUUAUCCAUUGUACAAUCUGUCAAUUUGUUAUAAAGUUAAUGCAGCAAUAUAUUAUAGUUUCCUAUUGUAGGGACUGAAAA